Non-coding RNA from Acephala macrosclerotiorum, 83 nucleotides. Lineage: Eukaryota; Fungi; Ascomycota; Leotiomycetes; Helotiales; Mollisiaceae. The record is from the annotation of a GenBank genome assembly.
UCUUCUGUGGCGCAAUUGGCUAGCGCGUUCGACUGUUAUGAAGUGCAAUCGAGAGGUUGGAGGUUCGAGCCCUCCCAGAAGAG